This 151-nucleotide unclassified non-coding RNA is filed under the name uncultured Capnodiales. Its description in RNAcentral is "sequence contains ITS1". The record is from RNAcentral. Lineage: Eukaryota; Fungi; Ascomycota; Dothideomycetes; Capnodiales.
CCGAGUGAGGGCCCGCGGCCCGACCUCCAACCCUUUGUUAUCAAAACCACUGUUGCCUCGGGGGCGACCCGGGCCUCGCGGCGUGGGGCCCCCGACGGACAAUCUCAUAACUCUGCAUCUUUGCGUCGGAUUUAAAAAGUUUAAUUGAUUA